GCGCUCCUCUCUGUCCCUGAGACCCUAACUUGUGAUGUUUACCGUUCAAAUCCACGGGUUAGGCUCUUGGGAGCUG
Molecule: microRNA precursor, 76 nt
Organism: Dipodomys ordii (Ord's kangaroo rat)
Lineage: Eukaryota; Metazoa; Chordata; Mammalia; Rodentia; Heteromyidae
Gene: Mir125b-1
Product: microRNA 125b-1
Source: Ensembl